CCGGCCCGAGGCGCCGCCGCUUCCGCCCGCCCCGCCCCGCGGCCGCUCUGCCGCCCCCUGCCCGGCUGGAGGGGCCGCGCAGCACCGGAGUCACACAGAGAAUCCUUCGGGUUGGGAGCGACUUCUGCACAUCACCCAGUCCCGCCCCCCUGCCAGGGCAGGGGCGCCUGGAGCAGGAAAUAGUGACAUGAUUUUCCAAGAAGUGACCAAACAGAAAAGCUACCAGGAAAUGGAGAAGCACCAUCCAGUCACGAGACCAAGAACUACAGACUGGUGCUGCAUUGGGGCUUGGUGGCUGAGGCAGCUCUGCACUGCAGCUGUCUCCUGCCAAGGGACCCCUUACCCCACAAGAACAAGUUCCUGAUGGAGACUGUCCCCCCUGGAGACUCCCUUGUCCUACUCAGCUGCCAAAGGCUCUGGGUCAGAGCAGGGUCAGCACAGCUGUCCCAGCACAGCCACCCCCACCAGUGAGCCAAAGCCUUCAGGCUCUUGGGACCUACAUUUCAGUGAGUUCACCUCCCAUGGAGUUCAGCUUUCAGCAAAUCAGCACAACAAUCCUGCUCAAAGUGUUGGUGAAAGAAUGUUAUUCAUAAUCAACAGUAAGUUAUUAAUUAUACUGGGGUUGACAUUUUGAGAUGCACCAGCUCAAACUGAUUCUUGUACAGAUCCAAAGAGUUCAAUAAAACACCCCUUAAGGAGGACAACACUGGGGAGGAAAAGCAGCAUUAGCACACUGAAUCACUGAGCAAGAAUGUGAUUGGAAUUACUACACUGGAUUAACUUCAUUUGAGUAUCUCUGCAUCUGAUGGCAUGAUUUUAUACUAUAAAAGCAUUCUGUAUUUAGAGCUAAUCUGUCAUGGUGCACUUAGAUCACAACAUGUAAAUGAGAACACCACAUGCAGUGUAGGAGUUCAGAACUUAAAAGGUAAAUGUCAGUCAUUACCUGUAAACCUCUGGAAAAUUCUAUUUCUAUCUUCUUGCUCUCCUCACUCAGCUCUGCUUGGGCUGCAAAUCAGCAGUAACUGCGGAAGAGAGACACCAACAUAAACAACAGCCUUCUGAAACUUUAUGGUUGCUCAUUCUGCCAGUCUGAAAAUCUUCUUCUGUGAUCAACCUGCAGUCAGUCAGGAACUCUGAAACUCAAAACCCACCACCAAACAAUCCCUGACUGUUUUAGGUGGUAGAGAAGUGUGUGCACCCUCAGGGGCCACAGCCACCUCCACCUUGAAUUGUGCCUCCCGAAUUCAGUCCAUGCACAGAUGCCCCAACAGGUCUGACACAUGGGAGUUCCCCACAUACCAAGAACAAUGGGUGUCCCACAAGCCCUCAGAGGGCAUUAAAUUUCUUGCUAGCGCUUGUCAAAGCCCCACAAUAUCAUCCCACAGCAGCACAUAGGCACAGCACAAACCACUCUGCAGGACCCAGCACUGUGGGACUCAAAGGAUCAAAGAGUGGUGUGCACCAAAACAAUAGACUCCCCAAGUUUCUAGUUUAGGGGCCUAGUACUUCCCACUCAAAAACACACAGAGCGAGUAACAAUAAGAUUUAAAAUACCCAACUUUGUUGAUGACCUCGCAGGAUUAUUUACCAAAAAAAAAUAGAUCAAAACCCGCUUGAAAACAUUUUCCGUUCCUUCGGAUAUCCCUCCUUUCCUGUAGAUGGAAGGAGAACAAAACUAAAAAUGCCUUUCCCUUUCUUCCCCCAGGAAAACAGUCCUUAGAACAAUUAACAUAACGGACUGUCAGAAGUGCUCAUAGCAAAGUGACAAACGCCGUGAGUGGCAGGCGAGCCCAGCCCGACCCACCAGAACACUGCGGGCUGGGUUUGUCAUGCAAAUCAAAAUGGGACCUGACAUGCUCUUUGUUCAUUUCCCUUUCAUAAAAUCUACUUUAAAUGCCUCCCAUGUGCCUUGUUUUGGAAGCUGACAUUCCAAAUGCAUCAGUGCAAAUUAAGGGAGGGAUCCAUUACCGAUAAAGACGUCGUGAUACAGAGAGUUUCAACAAAUCUUAUUGGGAGAGCUGGGGAAACAACUGCUGCAGCUGGCACCUGGAGGGUCACGCAGUUUGCUGCUUUCAUGAAGGCUCUUUAGAAAAACUCCAUCAGCAGGUCCUUGCAGGAGAAGUUCUGGCAAGCUGUCACAGCUUAAUAUUUAUAGAUUAUGUCUGCAAGCAGUGGGUACGUUGUGAAUUAGGAAUUAAUCACAAUGGUUUUGAUUUAAGUCUUGUCUGUGUUUAAAUGCACGAUGGUUAACAUGCAUAAGGCAAAUAUUUAAAUUACAAAUUGAUUGAGAUGUAUCUUAUUUAUUUCUGCCAUUUUACUACCUGAGUGCAUAAACAAUUACAGCUUUUUAGAAGACUCCUUCAGAUGUACAAUAUUUUACAAUUAACUUGUAUAUAAUUGUCAUGAUGCACUUUAUGAAGAUGCCUUUUAAACAAUGAAAGUGAUGUUCUGACCUCAUGAAAAUAAUUGGGAAGCUUCCACUGACUUCAGCUGAGCCAGUGGUUCAUCCCUUCAGGACACAUUUUUAACAAAGCCCUCGAAGCAUUUACUGGGCACGUGGGACUUUGGUUUGAAAAUAUAUGAGCACAUCUGUUAAUAAAGCAGUUUGGAAUUUACUCCCAAAAAUAUACUAACCCAAACCUUGGACUACAUUAACCUCCCUAGUUUUGUAAUUAUAACAAUUUCUGUGGUGAUUUGGUUUCACCUCUGCCAAAACCAGCAGUCAAUCUGCAUAAAUAGUGGUUUCAUCACUGCAAUUCCACUUGAGCCUCCAAAAAUUCAGAUUUCAGACCAUGCAGUCGGUCAGUUGGACUGUUCCAUACCAUCAUUAACCCUGGUCCACGUCCUGGACAUGUUAUUUUUUUCCAUUCUGAUAGAAAAUGCUUGUCUUUGUCAAUGCAUUGCUUUACUCUUGCAGCUUGCAGGCACUUACCCUGCAGCCUUAGAUCUGAAUCCCUCCUGGAAUUUCAUUCACUCACCUCUUUUUCAACUAUUAGUGGUUAAAAAAACCCACAACAAACAUAAACAUUUCCAUUUAAUGCCUUAUCAGAACUAUUAUCUGAUCAUUUAAUCUUACAUAUCAUCUCUUUACAAAGGCAAGACCUUUACUUCUGCAUUGGCUCUGAGCUUGAAUUUUUCUGAAUCAGACUUUUCCUCCUGCUCAUUUGGAGCAUCCUGUUUCUUCGCCCUCGCCCCAAGAUCUGAACAUCUCUACACAGGGAAUUUGCAGCGAAGGGGAAUGAUGCCUCUGGAAUUGUUUCCUUGCCAGUUCACAUCUGGUCCUCAGCACAAGAUCCAUCUGUUUAUUCAGGGUCUCCAGGGGCUUGUACAGUAGUGGCUAUGAGCCUUUUAAUUUGAUUUUGUCAUUUGGCUGGUUGGUGAGCACUUGACAGGCUGUGUAAGUGCAGCAGGGCAGUUACAACCAGUCACUCAUCGUAUCCUAGUGGCCAAUUCAUAACCCAGAGGAAUGCCAGUCACAUUUCAACAAUUUAAAACUGUAUCAGUCAUCUGCCCUACAUACUCCCAAAUUGUCAGCACCAUGAAAUGUAUUGCUUAAUUAUCUUUAAUUUAAUGUGAUUUCUUGCCUGUACACUUGUGCUUAGGAUUGUUGCCAGAGGUCUGGAGAGCAGAGUCAUAGUAAUCUUAAUUUACCUGACUAAGCUGUCUGGGUUUGAAGGGGAGGUGAAAUGAUGGCAUGGCCUUGGGUGACCCAACUAUGUCAUAAGGAACAAGGCAGGUAAGGACAGAACUUCCUCAGAGCAAAGCUUUGUAUUUUUUAAACACAGAGAUGUUGGCACCAGCAUCAAUUACACUGCCAUGACAAAGAGCACAAAGUAAGCCACAUAUGGAUUUAUUUCUCCUUCCAAAACCCGGGAUUAGGAUUGGUCACAGUUUGCCUCCUGCUGUGUCUCACCUCCUUCUGUGGAGAUGUGUUUAGUGUGGGAAAAGCGACCUCAGCCAUGGCAACAACCAGUAAAACUGCUUCUGGAGUAUGGAUAAUUCAGGUCACAGUGUGCAGAAUCACAUCCUCCCAAGCAGCAUUCCAAACACAAGAUAAACUCUUGUAAAAGCCUUCUGAAGCAACCUCUGGCAUAGGAAACCCCAGAUAACGUGCUAACUUUCAUAUGAAACACUUAGAUAAGCUCUGCUGUGUGAAUUGUAUAUGUCUGUGCUAACUGGGAGACACUGGAAAAACAAUUUCUGCCCUGAUCUUAUCCUUUAAGUAAGUGCUGAUGAUAAAAUUCCCAAUUCUCACUUUAUUAAUCUAUACUUAGUCAAGCCACAAAAGAAAGAAUUGGUCCCUGUUAAAACUUAUCCCUUACUUAAAGCUGAAAUUAAUUAGUUAACUAAUUCACUUGAGGUUUUGUUUUACUAUCUAUUGACAUGCUCUUUGAUCCUCCCAUAUUUCUCGUUUUGAGUGAUUGAAGAUUUCAUUCUUGCACUGUCAACAGACCUUUUGUUGAGAAACUUCUAUUUACAUCUGUAACUGACUGAAUUCUCACAUCUCCCCAGCAGUUCCUCUUUGAUCUCUGCAUUUCUGAGUUUAAUCAUUAAGUUUGCAUCAGAAGUUUUUCAGUUGCCGUAUCUUCCACAGUUUCCGGGAUUCACUUGCGAGAGCACAAACUCCUGAAGUUCACUUAGAAGGAUUUUUUGAAUUUUUGAUAGUUUUCUGAUAGUUUUGCAGGAAGUACCACACAUGCUGCAUCUCUGAAACUGCAGCAUGAACGAGCAGGAUUCCUGUUCCCUUUCAAUGUAUUAAAUAUUUAAACUUCAAGAUUUGACUUGGGUUUUUUUUCUGUGUAUUUAGUCCAUUUCUAGCCUUACAGUUUAAUCAUCUUAGGAGAUGUCCUACCUUUCUAGAGCAAAUUAAUCUACUGGGCCCAGGCUCUUCACAAUGCUUUUGAAACAAUUCUGGUAUUUUUAUUCCACUACCUAGACUCUAAAGACAAAGACUACUGCUAAAAAGCCACUCAACAGAAAGAAAUCAUUAAAUGAAAGGCAGGAAAUAAAUUUCACUGUAGAAGAAUCAUGAAGAGUAUGUUAAAACAUCACCAAGAGAACUCCAAGAGACAAGUCCUGAGCAUACAUUUCUGCUCAGCAAUACUGACUAAUAACUUUAAUCACUGGUUGUUCCCCGUGGGAAUGCAGGAGACAGGUGAUUCCGUGGUGCAAAGCAUCCUGUGCAUUCCCUCUCCACUCUCUGCAAUAACUCAAGACACGUAAGGAACCUGUGGCUGAAAGCUGUGCAUUGUGGGGGCAUUAAGAUUCCCCGAGGGCCACGUUCCUGGAGUGCUGUGCUCCUGGAAUACAUUUGAACAGCUCUGUACAAAAGCAGUCCCUGGCAAACACAUGAAUGAGAAUCACAAGUGGCUGCUCUGUCAAUCUCCCCCCUUCCCCAGCAUUCAUGGGAAUACUUGGGAACACUUGGAUUGCUGUGUAGGAUCUGUGCUCUUCCCUUCCCCGGGGCUCCAGCACAGGGCUUCCCUUACAGCAAAGUUUAUUUUCUCUUUUCUCAGUUCCCUGCUUAUGAAAACAGGGCAGCUCUGUACAUUAACAUGCAGAAAACCAAACUGAAACUGAGAGCUUCCACCCCAACAGCAACAUGAUCCUGCCAUCCCAAAUACACCCAGCGUUCCCCCUGCCUCCUGCUGUGCUGUUAUCCACAAAUCUGGAAAUUUUCAUAUCCACAGAUCUGGAGCUGCUCCCUUUCUCCAGCUGCAAUAUUGUGUAGCCUCUCUUUACAAGAGGCUGGGAAAACAAUAAGUGGGAGUUGACUUUUGUUUUCCAAAUAGGUAGGGAAGAGUAGCUCAUCUAAUAAUUUCCAUGGCCAAUUAUUGUCGAUUAACAUCAAAUCAGACUGAAAAUAUAGAACAUGAACUGAAGAAUGAAUUAGUAUCUGUUGCAGACGAGGUUAACUCAGCGUGUAGUGAAGUUUAUUUGUGUGAGGGGGCCACUGAAAUGGAUCUGGGGUUGGAGCACAGUGACACAGCUGUGGGACCUUCCCAUCCACGCAGGAAGUGCUUUUGUUUCUCUCAGUUCUGGAGCAUUUUUGCUUCUUCACUUCUCUCAUGGAAAACCUGGUUUUGGGGGCCGGACAGAUUGUGAGGAGGAGAACCUGGAAGCAUGAAAACAGCAAGAAGCAAAGUGUGGAUGUAACCACACAAAUGGAAUGUGCUUGUGAGCUCAAGGUCAGGGUAAAGAAAUGCAGGGACCCAGGACACUCACUGAGGUUUGUCACUCUCAGCAGCUCCUGAACCCCCAACUCCAGUGCCUUACCAAGGGGUACAACAGUGCUCCCUAAUAAAUCCUGACUGGCUUUCAUGAUGGCCCCAAUCUGUAACCAAGCUUUAAAAAGACUGACCAAAAGUUUACAUUCAGUUAAUGAGAAUUACUCUUUCCUUCCAAAGUUACACAUAAAAUUAAAUUCUCAAGGAUAAGCUGGUCUGUAGGAGUGUUUAGUUAGUUACUAACAAUCUCUAUAGACUAUAGACAGACCCAUGUUUAAAGAUGGGAGGAAAACAGUAUAGUUAUAUUGACAAAACCUUCAUUUACCCUGAGCUCUGAGUUUACAGGUAUUUAUUUCCCCUUUAAAUAAGGAUUUACUUUGUAAAUAUUCCUAUGCCAAGACACAGUAAUUUGGAGGACUCAAGCUGGAAAGUUUAGUGUGGCUAUAGGGGCACUACAGCCAACCAACAAAAUCAGGUAACUAUGAAAUGAAAAAAACAAAUCCACAAAGCUCUAAAAUAUGCCUGUACUUUUACAUAUAUGUGUGAAGAGGCAAAAAUUGCUGCAGUUCAGCUGUUCAGGAUGACAGGAAUGCUGGGCACGCACAGGCUGCGAAAAGCCACAGGAAAAGGGGAUUUACAAGUGGCAUGUGCUUCCAAUCUGCAGGAAACAAAUCUGAUCUUCUGCAUAUCAAAUGCAAAUCCCACUAACAGGAUGUGAAAACAAGAAUGGAUUGGCCAUCUCAAGACAUAAAAUCUGACAUAUAGAAGCACCUCUACCACCUACUUCUGCUUUCAUUUCAGGGGUUUAUUCCAACAGCGCUCCUGGUUUGGAAUUGAUUGCUUCUUCCAUUUAUCAUCUUAAACUUAUUAAACUGCUCUUUUUCUUUUUUCUUUUUUUUUUUUGCAUUAUGUUAGGAUAUUAAUUAUCUUUGUAGGGAAAAGAUACACUACCAUAAUCUUAAAGUUUUUUAGUUUUUUUUAGAUUCUUUUUAGUUUUAUCGAUUUCAGUAAGGUACACUAUGUUUCACUGCUUCUUUUAUAAACCACUUUAUUUGAAAACACAUUUUCACUGGCUUUGUAGGUACCUUGUCAUUGGCUAAAUAUGACCAGUUUUCUGUUACCUGAUAUAUGUAUAUGUAUACAAGACAAAUGUUUAAAUUAUUUAUUUUUUAAUAAAUGCAUCUGUAAAAUCU
This is a long non-coding RNA of Pseudopipra pipra, 7420 nucleotides long. RefSeq lists it as uncharacterized. The transcript is spliced from 2 exons. Lineage: Eukaryota; Metazoa; Chordata; Aves; Passeriformes; Pipridae. The record is from RefSeq and is a predicted model, not a curated record.